Haplochromis burtoni (Burton's mouthbrooder) is the source of this 359-nucleotide long non-coding RNA. RefSeq lists it as uncharacterized. The record is from RefSeq and is a predicted model, not a curated record. The transcript has 2 exons. Lineage: Eukaryota; Metazoa; Chordata; Actinopteri; Cichliformes; Cichlidae.
AGGGAGAUGUUUAGCUUCUCAGCUGUGGCUCCAGGAAACAUAAUUUAUAUUUAUCAAUAUAUAAUCAUAUACAUUUUUAUUAUAUCUAUCUGUGUGUGUUUGGUGUGUAUGUGUGUUUGCAUGUGCUCUCUUCUGUCUUACAGCAGCUCGUGUGAAACACUGUGGUUCUUACAGUACAGUUCUUCCCUGGAUUGUUGCUGGUGUAUCUCUCACUUUGAAUGCCUUCUGCAUAACCUACAUAUGGUUCCUCUGGAAUUCAAGAAAAAAGGUGAACCUACAUCAGGAGGAGAGAACCUACAUGUCACUGCAAAAAGCGGAUGUGUCACCAGAUUAUGAUGUUCUUGCACAACAUAUAAACU